Molecule: ribosomal RNA, 253 nt
Filed under: uncultured bacterium
Lineage: Bacteria
Description: partial 16S ribosomal RNA
Rfam family: Bacterial small subunit ribosomal RNA
Source: RNAcentral
UACGGAGGGUGCAAGCGUUGUUCGGAUUCAUUGGGCGUAAAGCGAGUGUAGGCGGUUUGACAAGUCGGAUGUGAAAUCCCGGGGCCCAACCCCGGAACUGCAUCCGAUACUGUCUGGCUAGAGUCCCGGAGAGGGUGGCGGAAUUCCCGGUGGAGCGGUGAAAUGCGUAGAUAUCGGAAGGAACGCCGGUGGCGAAAGCGGCGCACUGGAUCUCCACUGACGCUGAGGCGCGAAAGCCAGGGGAGCAAACGGG